CCAGAAGCUAGAUGAAUGCAGGCUCUCAGGAGAGGAAUCUAGGCUGGGGAGUAUAGAUUUACCAGGCGUUUGUUUAAAGGGAGUAGAGGACAAUAUAAGAUAGCCAGUGCGUGCAGGUGUGGGUGAGGAGAGACAGACCCGGGAGACUCGAGUCAAGGAGGGAGGGCUUAGGAGGGGUGAGAAGGGUGACAGAAAGAAAGCAGAGCAUGAGUCCAAGGAGCCAAGGGAAGACAGCAUCACAGAAGAGCAAGUAACCACAGUGCAGAAAAACCAGUUACGUAAAGUUCUGAGCAAUGCCCAGCGCCUCUAUAAACAAGCAGGUCCUUGGUGACCGCGACCGGAGACCUGUGUGGGGUGCCAGGUUGCAGGAAAUCGAAGAAUGAGUGGAGAACGAGGAAAAAGACAGUGAGUGGAGGCAAAUCCCAUUAGAAGCUUGUCUGGGAAGAGGGAGAAGAGAAGUAAAUGUAUUCCAGUCCUCUGAGUUCACCACGGCCACAUGCCCACAUGUGCUCUUUUCUCUCAUUGGAAUGGCUGCUUCUGAUUCUGCCCAUUUCACCAGGCUGGAAACUCAGAGUCAUCCCUGAAGAUGGCCACAAGUCACCUCCUUUCUGAUGCCCUUUCCUCUCCACUUCCAGGGAAGAAGCAAGACAUGAAAGGAAGCUACUCCAGGCCUUCGUGGUCCAGGUACAUGACUGCAGGAGGUUGGAUACAUGGAGCUGAUGCUUCCAAACCUUUAAGCUCUGUCUGGUAGAAGUCAGAUAUGGACCUCAUGGGGCUAAAAGCAGAGCUGUAUUUGUUCCCUGAAGCUCCUAGGGAAGACUCUGGGUGCUCAUCUGCUUCUACAGGACGCCUGUAUCCUUGGCUUGAGGUUCCCGGCUUCCCUCUUGAAAGCCAGCAAUGAAUUUCAACAUUUUUGAGAUCUUCCCCUUUUCCUAUGAAGACUUCAAGAGGAAAUGAGUGCUGAACUGGGAGUCAGUAUUGUGUCUCUCCUUGGGUGAGACACUCAGCUACACAGAAGAUGAGUAUUCCUUCUUGAAGUAUAAAAUAAGGAGUUGUUGAAUGUUUCUAAAUUACUUCUGGCUUUGGGGGGGGGCGGUACCUGGGCUCGAACUCAGGACCUUGUGCUUUUGAGGCAGGCAGCAGAACCACUGAGCUAAAUCCCCAGCCCAUACUUCUGGCUUUUGAUAAUCAAGGGACAGCCGGGGAUUUAGCUCAGUGGUUCCGGCACCUGCCGCGCAAGGUCCCAAGUUCAAUCCCUGGUACCAAAAAAAAAAAAAAAAAAAAAAAAAAAAAUCAAGGGACAAAAAUUUAAAAUUUUCAACCAUUGGGAAAGAAGAUAGUGUUAUUCAAAGAUCAAAGUAUCUUGAAAAAACUGUUCCUAGAUGAAUCCUGACCUGUGAUAUGGCUGCAGGUGAAAUCUUGCAAGAAAAGGAGCUAAUGUUACUGGAAACUUGAGAGUGAGAAUCCUUAUCGUAUAGUUCAGCAGUGAUAUUGUCUCCAGCAACUGUAGAGUAAAAAAUUAGUCUAAUGCCCUGAGUGUCUAGCUAAGAAGAUUUCCAAGCAAAGAUUUCUUCUUAUUUCUUAUAGCACAAUGUGAGAGGAAGAAUGUUAAGCGAAAAGGAAAGAGAAUUUGCAAGUUUUGAAAAUUCUCAGUCUCUGUAAAUGGCAAACAAUGCUGAAAUUAACAUAGCACCCCUGAGUAAAAAUUAAAUUCAAGACAGUGCCAGGUGGUCCAGGCCCGUAGGUGUAGCUCAGUGGUGCUGCACUUGCCUGGGGUGGGUGUGGCUCUGAGUUCAAAGCCUCUGAAUUUGAUCCCCAGCACCCAAACCAAAACAGAGCAAAACAAAGCAAAACAAAAUGUGGCUCAAAGAUAAAGCUACACAUGUGACCAUAUAAUCUUUUGUCACAAUCUCAGGAAGAUUUAAACUUGUACUCCAGGGUACUCUUUAGUCAAACAAAGAGUCUUCUAAAGAAGUUAAAGGUGUGCCUCAAAUACUCUCAAUAAAAUGAUGGUGCAAACUGGGGGUAGGGCGGCUCAUGCCUGUAAUCUCAGUGCUCAGGAGGCUGAGGCAGGAGGAUCACUGUGAGUUUGAGGCCACCCUGGGCUACAUAGUGAGACCCUCUCUCAAAUAAAACCAAAAUAAAUAAAAGUAAAUUACAUGAUAGUCCCUCAUCAGAAGCCCAAGGAAGAGGGCCGGGGGUUUAGCUCAGUGCCACCACGCCUGCCUCACAAGCACAAGGUCCUGAGUUCGAUCCCCAGUACCAAAAAGCAAACAGAAAAGAAGCCCAAGGAAGACAAGAGCGUUCCUGAAAAAGAUCUGUGGGUGUAGCUUCUGUCUAAUGGAGUGAACCCUAUUAAAAUCACAAAAACUUCUUAAAGUUUGUAAAGAAGUCUAUGUGAAGAAAGACUGACACCUUGGAAGGGGAGGAAAAAUAAAAAGAAUUAAGAUGUGUUAUGUACAUGUGCCAUCUCUCCAUGAUGAAUAUAAUCUUGUACUAGAAGCAUGUACUAAUAAAAAUUUAAGAAGAAAUAUUGCUGCCUUGAACCAAAAGAGGACUUUGGACUCUCAAAGUUCUACUAGUUACAAAUGUGGACUAUUCGUCUUGAUAAAGGAAGGAUGAUUCAGAAGACCAAACCAAGACCCCAUAACCUGAAGCAGAGAGCCAGGGAGAAUUAUUCCCUGGUCUUUAAACUUAAGGAUCUUUCAAUAUUUGCUCAGCAGAAUUUCAGAACAAAAACAGACCAGCACUCCUUUGCGCCUGCCAUUUGCCUACUUUUUGAGCAGAAAUAGCUGCAGCCUUACCUGUCACACCUGUCUCCUCUCUGUAUGAGGCUGUUCGGAGUGGCAGAUAAGUUAUCGCUCUAGUUCACAGGUGCAUAAGAGCUGUACUCAAGGAGCUGCACUUGAGGAACUCCGUCCGAAGAGCCUCAGCUGCUGCUGGACUUGACUGAGAUGAUGAGAUUCUGGGCUUCAAGUGGAUGCUGUAAUGAGAUAAGAGUUUUGGUGACUUUGGGAGGAGGUGGAUGUAUUUAUGCAUGGGAGAUGGAUCACUGGGGACCAGGGGGUGGGCUGUGCAGGUAGCCUCCAAGAUAGCCAUGAUCCCACCUUUCAGUGUUCACACCUUGAAUAGCUCCCUCCUGCUCUGUAUCACAAUGCAUCUGUGUGACCAACCGCAUGUAGAGGAAGUGAUGGUGUGUUACUGCUGAGACCAGGAUACAAAAAGACUGUGGCUUCCAUCUGAGUACCUCUUUUUCUCAAUCUCUC
This 3266-nucleotide long non-coding RNA is filed under the name Heterocephalus glaber (naked mole-rat). RNAcentral describes it as "lncRNA (ENSHGLG00100037757.1)". The record is from RNAcentral. Lineage: Eukaryota; Metazoa; Chordata; Mammalia; Rodentia; Bathyergidae.